AGGUUAUGGCAUGUGUCAGGUUAAUCUGAACCUCGGGUGGAGAGCGGGACAGCAACGUUCUACAUUGGUGCGCUUACGGCAAUCCAAAAGACUGCCAAAAUCAACUGUCAAGAGAAACUCGUGCUGCUUGCCUCACUUCAGUUUCCCCAGCGCCAGUGUGUGUCAGACUUCAGUUAAUGCAGGUAAGUGCAGUUGACACGUUUUUAUAUUAAAUACAACCGCCGAUGACUUAAGAGAUGAGGCAUUUUGUGUUAUCGGUUUUCAUGUUGAUUUCAUAGGUCUGUGACCGUCGGUUUCCGUCUUAUGCGCUGAAACUUCUAUACUCUUUUAACAGGAGCUAAAACACAAACGUCUGUGACACACAACUGUGACAUUUAAUCUUAGUUGCUACCCUCAUACUCAGUAACGGUUGAUUAAGUGUUGUUCUGUGGUUGAAAUUCACUUUCAGAUAUCAAUGCCAAGGGAAUUUCAAUCAAAGAACAACAACACUAGCAAUCCCAGCUAACUGGCCAACGAUAGCUAGCAAAAGCCGGGAGCUAGCUAACUCAGGCAUGGAGCAUCUUCUACCUAUUGGCACAAAGCAGAGCACUAUCUAGCAAUAUCUGUCUGUCACGGAAAGUGUUUGACUCACUGUAAUUCUAGCCUACUACUGAAGCAAUCGAGUGAAUCUGCUUUUUUCUACAUUGUCUUUUCAGAUGUGCUGCUGCUGAAGGCAGUCACCCGGUGGAGGAACUUGUUUUUUGACAGGCAUACUACAGAUGCUGUGCUGCGAACGGACACUGCAGUCACCUGUGGGAGGGGUCAAUCAAAUCGGAUCUCAAAAACAGAUGUCGCGAAUCUGAUCUGAUCUACCUACCUCUAUGUGGCAAUAGAGUACCUGCUUUUACUGGCCAGGGGACCAAGAUGAAAACAAGAGGCCUGUACCCAGACAUCCAAGCACCCAUCAAGUCACCCAG
Molecule: long non-coding RNA, 956 nt
Organism: Engraulis encrasicolus (European anchovy)
Lineage: Eukaryota; Metazoa; Chordata; Actinopteri; Clupeiformes; Engraulidae
Exons: 3
Source: RefSeq, a predicted model, not a curated record